CUACGGGUCGCACCAGUAGGGAAUCUUCGGCAAUGGACGGAAGUCUGACCGAGCAACGCCGCGUGAGUGAAGAAGGUUUUCGGAUCGUAAAGCUCUGUUGUAAGAGAAGAACGAGUGUGAGAGUGGAAAGUUCACACUGUGACGGUAUCUUACCAGAAAGGGACGGCUAACUACGUGCCAGCAGCCGCGGUAAUACGUAGGUCCCGAGCGUUGUCCGGAUUUAUUGGGCGUAAAGCGAGCGCAGGCGGUUAGAUAAGUCUGAAGUUAAAGGCUGUGGCUUAACCAUAGUACGCUUUGGAAACUGUUUAACUUGAGUGCAGAAGGGGAGAGUGGAAUUCCAUGUGUAGCGGUGAAAUGCGUAGAUAUAUGGAGGAACACCGGUGGCGAAAGCGGCUCUCUGGUCUGUAACUGACGCUGAGGCUCGAAAGCGUGGGGAGCAAACAGGAUUAGAUACCCUGGUAGUC
This 464-nucleotide ribosomal RNA is filed under the name uncultured bacterium. Its description in RNAcentral is "partial 16S ribosomal RNA". It matches the Rfam family "Bacterial small subunit ribosomal RNA", at positions 339 to 795 of the family's 1533-position model. The record is from RNAcentral.